AUUGAACGCUGGCGGCAUGCUUUACACAUGCCAGUCGAACGGUAACAGGCCGCAAGGUGCUGACGAGUGGCGAACGGGUGAGUAAUGCAUCGGAACGUGCCCAGUCGUGGGGGAUAACUACUCGAAAGAGUAGCUAAUACCGCAUACGAUCUAUGGAUGAAAGCGGGGGACCGUAAGGCCUCGCGCGAUUGGAGCGGCCGAUGUCAGAUUAGGUAGUUGGUGGGGUAAAGGCUCACCAAGCCAACGAUCUGUAGCUGGUCUGAGAGGACGACCAGCCACACUGGGACUGAGACACGGCCCAGACUCCUACGGGAGGCAGCAGUGGGGAAUUUUGGACAAUGGGCGCAAGCCUGAUCCAGCAAUGCCGCGUGCAGGAAGAAGGCCUUCGGGUUGUAAACUGCUUUUGUACGGAGCGAAACGGCUCUGGUUAAUACCCGGGGCUAAUGACGGUACCGUAAGAAUAAGCACCGGCUAACUACGUG
Molecule: ribosomal RNA, 482 nt
Filed under: uncultured bacterium
Lineage: Bacteria
Description: partial 16S ribosomal RNA
Rfam family: Bacterial small subunit ribosomal RNA
Source: RNAcentral